AGCCUGGCCAGCUACCUGAGCGACGAGAGCCUGGCCGACUACGAGUACUUCGUCAAGAUGAAGUCGGCCCUCAUCAUCGAGCAGCGGGAGCUGGAGGACAAGAUCCACCUGGGCGAGGAGCAGCUCAAGUGCCUGGUGGACAGCCUGCAGCCCGAGAGGAGCAAAUGAGCGGCCUCCUGGGGGCGGAGCCGGCCUGCGCACCGCCCCGGGCAGCGGGCCCCAGCCUGGAUGGAGGUCCCGUAGUGAGAACCCUCUCGUAGUGUCGUGGCUGUUAGAAUAUUGAUAACUCGUGUUUGUCUGGGGUGAUGCAUUGGGCGUCUAGUUUCCCUGUGGAUGCUGAGCAGAGCGGCUCCCCGUGGGGUGUUGUCUUUUACAAGGAGCCCCACGGGGCACGGGCCCUGGUGGCUGGCGAGCUUCCGCCACGGAGACCACAGGCUCUGUCCCGUGCUGCACGCGAGGGCCCCUUGGUGGCGGUCGCUCUGGCUUCCUGUGUCUUCCGCUGCCAAACCGGCCGCUUGGGCAGCACUCAGCGAGUCCCCAGAGGGCACAGGGUGGGCCACCUGGCGCACAUCUUCUCUUGUGAUCCACGAGGGGCGUGGCCUGCCACAUUUUAUGCGUGUCCGUCCCAUGCUGUUAGCGUUCACUGUCUCAUAUAAUGUGCUCUCUGACCCAGCACAAACCUGUGGUGAUGAUGAAGACGGUGAUAAUUUAUUAACAUAGUAGUUUCCAAGUGGUUAGGAACCAACUGUGAAGUGCAUAGCCUGUGUGUUGGGUCGCUCAUUCUAAAAGCGCCGCUCGAGUCGUGUGCAUGCCUUCAAAGCCGCGCACCAAGCGGACAGCUUCAGUCCGCCCCACCCGGCGGCGCGGGUCAGGCGUGUUCCCGCAACGGAAACGCCUGGUAAAAGCAUGCCCUGAAGGCCCAUUCUGUUUCCUAAGAGCCCGCCUCCGGACUUCCGGGGGUCCCUCUGCAACUUUGCCACAGAGUUGACCGAUCCCAGGCCCUUUUUAUUGGUUGACAUUGCAAUAUUCUGAAGAGUCUAUUCACUUAAAAGACAAACGCUGUCAUGGUGUCAAUUUGCAGUUGACAAGUCAGGCUGGGAGAAAUGGUCUGCAAAUCACAUAUGUGACAAAGGAAUCAUCUCCAGAAUAUAUGAAAAACUCUGUACAACUCAACCGCAAGGAAACCAACAGCCCAGCUGAAACAGGGACAAAAGAUUUCACCAAAGAGGACACAUGCGUGGCAAGUAAGCGUAGGAGAAAGAUGGUCAACCGCCAAUGGCUGGGUGGUAACUUAUUUUUACCUAAAUCACUGUGGAGCCGGUAUGUUUCUUCUCAGAUGCUCAGCUGAUGCAGCGCAUGCUUAAUGGUGGGGAACCCCUUGGAUGAGUUCAUGUCAGGGUAGCGUGUACCCUUGUUGGAUGGAGGGGUUAUUUGAAUCCUGUUUCCCCUUAUUCCCUAUACAAGAAGUUUUCCAGCGGGUGGGGAGACCUCUGUCAUCAGUGACUGCCACCUAACCAAACCACACACCCACCAGUGUCUUAGGACCACGGUCCACCUUCCUGAGCCGGAGGCGGCGAGCCAGGCUCCCGGGCCGCGGGGAAGGGUCCGCACGGACCAGCUUCAGGCGCGCAAGCGUCACCGCUCCUUUCGGCCACUUUCCAGGCGCGUUCACUGCUGUUAGUUAAGCUGUGACGUGGGAAUCCUAACACUUGCGGUGAAAAGUGGCCACGUUGGAGAAGGUCCGGCUGGCUGCUCGCGGACCCCCGUGGUCCUCCCUCGGGGGGACCACGGCCAUUCCGUGUGUUUGCUUUUUAAUGUAGACAAAGCUUUUACCUGUGACGCUUGCCUGUCCGAUACAGUGUUGUGGCCGUUGUGAUGCUAUGUAUGUAAAUGUGAAUCUAGAAAGUGUUGUGUCUGUGCCGGCCUUUUGAUGUCUUUGAGGACUUCCUUCUCCGUGGGAAUAUGUAGUGCAAUUCCCCUUUUAGCGAAGCCCCUGUGCCCACACCGUCCUGUCCAGUCCCCGCCUGCCUCUUCAAUGUCUGCUUGGCGGGACCCAAAGAUCCAGGAGUCCGUGUACAUACCUUUGUAUAUAGUAACAUCAGUGCAGAUAAUAACAGUCUGGUGCUAACGUCUGCCCUCUGCGCGGGUGGUAGCUGUUCCGGACUCUCUGGGAAGCUCAGCCGUGGAAUCCCCUGAAUCGCGCGACUUCAGCCAGGCCAUCGCCGGCAGUUCACUGUGGAAAUGUGUGCGGAUUCAUGCUCGAAGCUGACCACUUACCUCUCAACAGAUCAUCCUGCCUGACUUUGAUGAAAUAAAAUAGUGUCUUUGAGUGCAUGGA
Myotis davidii is the source of this 2338-nucleotide long non-coding RNA. RefSeq lists it as uncharacterized. The transcript has 2 exons. Lineage: Eukaryota; Metazoa; Chordata; Mammalia; Chiroptera; Vespertilionidae. The record is from RefSeq and is a predicted model, not a curated record.